RNAcentral lists this long non-coding RNA (2436 nucleotides) under Mus musculus (house mouse). RNAcentral describes it as "predicted gene, 56850". Lineage: Eukaryota; Metazoa; Chordata; Mammalia; Rodentia; Muridae. The record is from RNAcentral.
GACUUUCAGGAUUCCUGGGCUGGGGACAGGGAGAGGAAGAAGAGAAAGAUCCGCCAUGCUGGAAAAAGGAGAACUAAGAUGCCACACCCGAGAAGCUCAGGACAGAGAACAUAGCCGCCAUAUUGGAGUAAGGGGAUCCCAGCCCAAGAUGGUCUGGGUAUAGGGCAGCAAAGAUGGAAAACAGUUAGGGACUCCAUCCAAUAAAGGCAAAUAAAGAGAGCCUGAAAGUAUAGCUUGGCACCUACGCAGCAAGCCACUCCUGUCUACAGUGCUCAUGAACCUUCCAGAAUCAUGGAGAAGACCUGCCGUGCAUGGCCCUUAUUGCAAACUGAAAGUGUUUCGAGGCCCAAGGUGGAAAGAAAAAAAAAAGAAGAAAGCAAACCUGGGAAACACAGAAUUCAUUCAGCCCCUUGUAGUCCCGCACUUUGGUCACAGAGGAAACAUCCCCUGACAGCCUGGUGUUCGAAUCUAAUGUGGUCAAAGCAAACUAUGGAGCCGGACCUAUGCAAAUCUCUACAGAAACUCGAGGUUUGCUUCUGCCACAUCUGGGUCUCCCGAGGUCGGAGAGGAUCGUCUUUAAUAUUCCUUGGUAGAUUCCAGAAAACCGCAAAAGGAUUUAACCAAAAGGAAGCAAAGGUUUUCUUUUUAUAAAUUCGAUUAGUCUUUUCCACUUUCUCUGCCUCCGGACAUUUCCUCUGGGAGGAAUUUUAUACCCAGACACCCCUUUGCGAGGCACUGUUGCAUGCGGAGCGCAGAGAACUUAAGCGCAACCUGGAGGAGCAUUUGCGGUUCCCGGUCCAUUCCAUUCUUAAAUGCCGGUGUGGGAAUAGCUCUGCAAGAAGAGGAAGAUGAAGUUUGCGGCGCACAGGGAGUAAGGGAUUCACUGCUCGGGUGGAACCCUGCCUCAGCUGCGCUAGACUGAAUUUCCUUCUAGACCCAGCACCUGGAAACCCUGUCUUCCCGCGGGGACACAGGUCUUGAGAACGUCGUUGCUGGUGGGCAACGGUACCUCUCCGCUCUUUAUCUUUGACCUUCACUUCUCCAGCAAUCAGCUGCUGGGCAGCGCUCACAGUUCACUCUCCAAGGCCUCGGGUUCGAAGCUGCUGCGCCAAGGUCUGAGAAGAGGUUAGGAUUUGAACUGCAGUUCGCUUAAGAAGAGUCUGACAUUCUCAGGAAAGCAGAGUCCCAAACCUGGGGAAAGGCGAAGCUACGGAAUGCUUUUCCAAUUUUGACUUUUGUUUUAAGUCAGCACCGCCACCCCAAGCCCUAAGUCUAGAAAAGAAUACUUAGAAGCCACUUCAAUCUUUCUUCCCUGUUCUUCCCACCCCCACACUGCAGGCAUCCAGACAAGAAAACACAAAUAAACCCCAGGUGGUUAAUGGUGGUGCAUCCAGGCGCUCCAUCCCCAAACACACACACACACACACACACACACACACACACACACACACACACACACACACACACACACACACACGGAGCACACCAUCCACUUGAUCCCACCCACCACCGGGGAGGGGAGGGACUGGGAACCUGAUCUCCCGGCUCCUGCCCAGUACGUUUCCCCAUCAAUAAUGUUGAUACCAUCGAAGUGCCUGCUCCCCGCCCCCGGGGCGCCGCUGCCGCCUUUUUGCCGCUUUUUGCCCGGCAUAGGAAAACGAAACCUCCUCUACUGCCCUUGUAGCCCCUGCCUGGAGCCUGGGCUGGAAAUUUCGGAAGCUGGGACACAGCCAGAGCGCUUAGGGCCCACCUCCACUUGUAGAGUGGGUGCUCAAACUGCACAGAUGGAACCUGAAAAAGAGUCAGGGGCCCACAUAAGGCCUCAAUCACAUCCCACACCAGGGUCAGACUGGGCCAUAAUUAGAAAACUUUGCGGGUAGAAGAACCAGGCCUCAGAACAGAAGGCCUUCAUGCGACCACCCCUUCCUAAAAUUGGAGCUCAAACAAAGAAGUCCGGAAACACCUUCCUUGAAAAUUUCUCUAUGGCCGCAGCCCUAGACCACCGCCCUCGGGCCAGCCAACUCACCGCGGACAAACUAGACCUCGGGAAACUGAGGCUAUACUGUGGAGGGAACAUAGACAUCCCCGCACCCCAAAGGCAGUUUGUACAAUUGCUAAGUGCCUCCACAGGGUCCGUUUCGUCUUGGUCUGAGAGGUCGCGACCCCCACGCAGCUGUCACCUCAUUUGGGGCUAUCCCCAUUCCCUAUUGGGUAUCUGUCCCUAAAUACCAGCCCCCCACCCCCCACCCCAGGAUCCUACAAGCCACAACCUCUUCGCCGUAUUUCCCAGGAGCAGCCCCCAUCCAUGGUUUGGAGGACUCGACCCUAUGGAGCGCCCUGGCCUGGAGGUGUGCAGGUUAGAAGGAACCCCAGCUGUGGCACCUCACUAUCCUUCUCUUUCCCGACCCGUUCAAAAAUAAAAAAAUAAACCCCAAU